Molecule: ribosomal RNA, 1157 nt
Filed under: Rutstroemia conformata
Lineage: Eukaryota; Fungi; Ascomycota; Leotiomycetes; Helotiales; Rutstroemiaceae
Description: LSU rRNA
Rfam family: Eukaryotic large subunit ribosomal RNA
Source: RNAcentral
AUUACCUCAGUAACGGCGAGUGAAGCGGUAAAAGCUCAAAUUUGAAAUCUGGCUCUCUCAGAGUCCGAGUUGUAAUUUGUAGAAGAUGCUUCGGGUGUGGUUCCGGUCUAAGUUCCUUGGAACAGGACGUCAUAGAGGGUGAGAAUCCCGUAUGUGACUGGAUACCUACGCUCAUGUGAAGCUCUUUCGACGAGUCGAGUUGUUUGGGAAUGCAGCUCAAAAUGGGUGGUAUAUUUCAUCUAAAGCUAAAUAUUGGCCAGAGACCGAUAGCGCACAAGUAGAGUGAUCGAAAGAUGAAAAGCACUUUGGAAAGAGAGUUAAACAGUACGUGAAAUUGUUGAAAGGGAAGCGCUUGCAACCAGACUUGCACUUGGUGUUCAUCAGGACUUUGUGUCCUGUGUACUUCAUCAAGUUCAGGCCAGCAUCAGUUUGAGUGGUUAGAUAAAGGCUUAGAGAAUGUGGCCCUUCUCGGAGGGUGUUAUAGCUCUAGGUGCAAUGUAGCCUACUCGGACUGAGGACCGCGCUUCGGCUAGGAUGCUGGCGUAAUGGUUGUAAGCGACCCGUCUUGAAACACGGACCAAGGAGUGUACCUAAUAUGCGAGUGUUUGGGUGUUAAACCCAUACGCGUAAUGAAAGUGAACGCUGGUGAGAACCCUUAAGGGUGCAUCAUCGACCGAUCUUGAUGUCUUCGGAUGGAUUUGAGUAAGAGCAUAUUGGGUGCGACCCGAAAGAUGGUGAUCUAUACGUGAAUAGGGUGAAGCCAGAGGAAACUCUGGUGGAGGCUCGCAGCGGUUCUGACGUGCAAAUCGAUCGUCAAAUUUGCGUAUAGGGGCGAAAGACUAAUCGAACCAUUAAGAGUUGCUAGGUGGUUAAGAAGAGGCUGGAACAAGUCUCCUAGUCCUACUGCAGGGCAACACUAUCAAAUUGAUCGGGAACUACCUGUUUAAUUCUAAGCUACCGCAGCCCAGUCGAAAGAUGGGUGCGCACCAGGUUAAUGACCUUGGGGAUGGUAAUAACGCUUAGAUAGGGUAUAUCCGCAGCGAAAUCCUAAGGCUUAGGCUAUGGAUAGCGUUCACAGACUAGACGAUAGUGGGCUCUCUGGCUUCAAAGUCAUGAGAGCUUAAGAUAUAGUCGAAACCUCAGAGAUGCAAGGUAUA